Molecule: ribosomal RNA, 329 nt
Filed under: uncultured eukaryote
Lineage: Eukaryota
Description: partial 18S ribosomal RNA
Rfam family: Eukaryotic small subunit ribosomal RNA
Source: RNAcentral
CCCUUAGAUGUCCUGGGCCGCACGCGCGUUACACUGAUGCAUUCAACGAGCUUAUAACCUUGGCCGAGAGGCCUGGGCAAUCUUGUUAACGUGCAUCGUGAUAGGGAUAGAUUAUUGAAAUUAUUAAUCUUCAACGAGGAAUGCCUAGUAAGCGUGAUUCAUCAAAUCGCGUUGAUUACGUCCCUGCCCUUUGUACACACCGCCCGUCGCUCCUACCGAUUGAAUGUGUUGGUGAGGAGCUCGGAUUGGCAGCAGUUGGUGGUUCGCCACCGGCUAUUGCUGAGAAGUCCUCCAAACCGCCCCAUUUAGAGGAAGGAGAAGUCGUAACA